This is a long non-coding RNA of Oreochromis niloticus (Nile tilapia), 513 nucleotides long. RefSeq lists it as uncharacterized. Lineage: Eukaryota; Metazoa; Chordata; Actinopteri; Cichliformes; Cichlidae. The record is from RefSeq and is a predicted model, not a curated record. The transcript has 3 exons.
CUGCUGCUUUUCCUCUCCUGAUGCUAAAUCACUCUUAUCAGAGGCUAGUUAGCAAGUCUGUGUCGUGCUGUGAUUUUGAUAAGAGAUGUCUUCUUCCCAGGCCUGCAAUAGACCACCACAAAGUGAGCCUUUAUUGACUACCUGCUGUCUGUUGGCCUGGCCAGACCUGGGGACCCGCAGGGGGCUUCUGCUGCCAGAGGCCAAAGUGUUAGAGGUGAGGACUGCAAGCAUAUAUCGUUAUCCGACCUUCAUCAACCAAAGCGACCGUGAAAUUUGGACAAGGUGCAGCUCCGAGAUAACUUGGCAGCUGCAAAUUUUUUCCCAAACUGUGAUCCCUGGAUUUCCCUCCGUGGUGUGUGGUGAACCAAAACCCCGAGUUUGAGAGAGAGAAAGAGAGUUUUACCUGUAAAUAUAGGAUGAGUGGAUUCCCUUCCUCCCCGGACCCCUUGGAGCACUAUUCCCUUUUUGCAUUGUGUCUGUAAAUAUAUUUAUUCACUGUAAAUAAACAGUGAA